Molecule: ribosomal RNA, 439 nt
Filed under: uncultured bacterium
Lineage: Bacteria
Description: partial 16S ribosomal RNA
Rfam family: Bacterial small subunit ribosomal RNA
Source: RNAcentral
CUACGGGGUGCAGCAGUGAGGAAUAUUGCACAAUGGAGGAAACUCUGAUGCAGCAACGCCGCGUGGAGGAUGACGCAUUUCGGUGUGUAAACUCCUUUUAUAUGUCAAGAAAAUGACGGUAGCAUAUGAAUAAGCACCGGCUAACUCCGUGCCAGCAGCCGCGGUAAUACGGAGGGUGCAAGCGUUACUCGGAAUCACUGGGCGUAAAGGACGCGUAGGCGGGAUAUCAAGUCAGGUGUGAAAUCCUACAGCUUAACUGUAGAACUGCACUUGAAACUGGUAACCUAGAGUAUGGGAGGGGGAGAUGGAAUUAGUGGUGUAGGGGUAAAAUCCGUAGAUAUCACUAGGAAUACCUAAAGCGAAGGCGAUCUCCUGGAACAUAACUGACGCUAAGGCGUGAAAGCGUGGGGAGCAAACAGGAUUAGAUACCCGCGUAGUC